AACGAACGCUGGCGGCAUGCUUAACACAUGCAAGUCGAACGGACUUGUAGGGCUUGCUCUACAAGUUAGUGGCAGACGGGUGAGUAACGCGUGGGUAUGUACGUUUUGGUUCGGAAUAACUUCGGGAAACUAAAGCUAAUACCGGAUAAGCCCGGGAGGGGAAAGAUUUAUCGCCGAAAGAGCAGCCCGCGUUAGAUUAGGUAGUUGGUAGGGUAAUGGCCUACCAAGCCUACGAUCUAUAGCUGGUCUGAGAGGAUGAUCAGCCACACUGGGACUGAGACACGGUCCAGACUCCUACGGGAGGCAGCAGUAGGGAAUUUUCCACAAUGGGCGAAAGCCUGAUGGAGCAAUACCGCGUGCAGGAUGAAGGCCUUCGGGUCGUAAACUGCUUUUAUGUGCGAAGAAUUUGACGGUAACACAUGAAUAAGGAUCGGCUAACUACGUGCCAGCCGCCGCCGUAA
This 461-nucleotide ribosomal RNA is filed under the name uncultured bacterium. RNAcentral describes it as "partial 16S ribosomal RNA". It matches the Rfam family "Bacterial small subunit ribosomal RNA", at positions 29 to 523 of the family's 1533-position model. The record is from RNAcentral.